RNAcentral lists this transfer RNA (69 nucleotides) under Enteromius camptacanthus (African redfinned barb). RNAcentral's name for it is "tRNA-Ala". It matches the Rfam family "tRNA". Rfam says of the family: Transfer RNA (tRNA) molecules are approximately 80 nucleotides in length. Their secondary structure includes four short double-helical elements and three loops (D, anti-codon, and T loops). Lineage: Eukaryota; Metazoa; Chordata; Actinopteri; Cypriniformes; Cyprinidae. The record is from RNAcentral.
AAGGCCUUGGCUUAAUAAAAGUAUCUGAUCUGCACUCAGAAGAUGUGAGUUGAUAUCUUACAGGUCUUA